CCUACGGGAGGCAGCAGUGGGGAAUAUUUCGCAAUGGGCGAAAUCCUGACGCAGCGACGCCGCGUGAUGGAUGAAGGUCUUCGGAUCGUAAACCUCUGUCAGCAGGGAAGAACGGUCACUGUGCUAAUCAGCAGUGAAUUGACGGUACCUGCAAAGGAAGCACCGGCUAACUCCGUGCCAGCAGCCGCGGUAUUACGGAGGGUGCGAGCGUUAAUCGGAAUUACUGGGCGUAAAGCGCUCGUAUGCGGUAUGUAAAGUCAAGGGUGAAAGCCCCGCGCUCAACGUGGGAACUGCCUUUGAAACUGGCAAACUGGAGUGUGGGAGAGGAUAGUGGAAUUCCAGGUGUAGGAGUGAAAUCCGUAGAUAUCGGGAGGAACAUCAGUGGCGAAGGCGACUAUCUGGCACAUAACUGACGCUGAGGAGCGAAAGCGUGGGUAGCAAACAGGAUUAGAUACCCCGGUAGUC
Molecule: ribosomal RNA, 465 nt
Filed under: uncultured bacterium
Lineage: Bacteria
Description: partial 16S ribosomal RNA
Rfam family: Bacterial small subunit ribosomal RNA
Source: RNAcentral